RNAcentral lists this ribosomal RNA (475 nucleotides) under uncultured Alphaproteobacteria bacterium. RNAcentral describes it as "bacterial SSU rRNA". It matches the Rfam family "Bacterial small subunit ribosomal RNA", at positions 8 to 528 of the family's 1533-position model. The record is from RNAcentral. Lineage: Bacteria; Pseudomonadati; Pseudomonadota; Alphaproteobacteria.
AGAGUUUGAUCCUGGCUCAGAACGAACGCUGGCGGCAGGCUUAACACAUGCAAGUCGAACGCCCUCUUUUAGAGGGAGUGGCAGACGGGUGAGUAACGCGUGGGAACCUACCUAUUGGUAAGGAACAACACAGAGAAAUUUGUGCUAAUACCUUAUAAGCCCCGAGGGGGAAAGAUUUAUCGCCAAUAGAUGGGCCCGCGUUUGAUUAGCUAGUUGGUGAGGUAAUGGCUCACCAAGGCGACGAUCAAUAGCUGGUCUGAGAGGAUGAUCAGCCACACUGGGACUGAGACACGGCCCAGACUCCUACGGGAGGCAGCAGUGGGGAAUAUUGGACAAUGGGCGCAAGCCUGAUCCAGCCAUGCCGCGUGUGUGAUGAAGGCCCUAGGGUUGUAAAGCACUUUCAACGGUGAAGAUAAUGACGGUAACCGUAGAAGAAGCUCCGGCUAACUUCGUGCCAGCAGCCGCGGUAAUACGA